AAUUUGCUGAAGAUGGAGGCUGCUGCUGAAACACUACCCCAAGGCCCUCCGUCAUGCACUGGAAAAGUUCCCCAGUAAACCCAUGCCAGAACAAUAAUUGUAAAUUUAAGUACAUUACAUUAAUCUACAGUAACCACAUAAUGACAACAAGUUUCUCAAGUUCCUGAAAUCUCACUAAUUCUUUAAGUGCCGAUACUGAACCCAUUAAUUUCUUAGAGCCUUCCAGUCUUGGAUCAACAAGCUUCGAAGGCUCUGAUGACAGAGACUCAUCUUUGGCCAAUGGCUGACCCCCAAAUG
Molecule: long non-coding RNA, 297 nt
Filed under: Citrus sinensis (sweet orange)
Lineage: Eukaryota; Viridiplantae; Streptophyta; Magnoliopsida; Sapindales; Rutaceae
Description: long non-coding RNA (CSIN_LNC000551)
Source: RNAcentral